AGUCCCUACGGGAGGCAGCAGUGAGGAAUAUUGGUCAAUGGGCUAAGGCCUGAACCAGCCAAGUCGCGUGAGGGAAGACGGUCCUAUGGAUUGUAAACCUCUUUUGUCGGGGAGCAACGAGGCCACGUGUGGCCGAAGUGAGAGUACCCGAAGAAAAAGCAUCGGCUAACUCCGUGCCAGCAGCCGCGGUAAUACGGAGGAUGCGAGCGUUAUCCGGAUUUAUUGGGUUUAAAGGGUGCGCAGGCGGAUUUUUAAGUCAGCGGUCAAAUCGUGGGGCUCAACCCCAUCCAGCCGUUGAAACUGGG
Molecule: ribosomal RNA, 305 nt
Filed under: uncultured bacterium
Lineage: Bacteria
Description: bacterial SSU rRNA
Rfam family: Bacterial small subunit ribosomal RNA
Source: RNAcentral